UGGAUCCAGACUUUGAUUAUGGCUCAGGAUGAACGCUAGCGGCAGGCUUAACACAUGCAAGUCGAGGGGCAGCGCGGGAUAGCAAUAUCCUGGCGGCGACCGGCGGAAGGGUGCGUAACGCGUGAGCGACAUGCCCGUUGCCCGGGGACAACCGGUGGAAACGCCGACUAAUCCCCGAUGGGAUACGAUGCUGCAUGGCAUUGUAUUGAAAGUUACGGCGGCGACGGAUUGGCUCGCGUCCGAUUAGCUGGUUGGCGGGGUGACGGCCCACCAAGGCUACGAUCGGUAGGGGUUCUGAGAGGAAGGCCCCCCACAAUGGGACUGAGACACGGCCCAUACUCCUACGGGAGGCAGCAGUGAGGAAUAUUGGUCAAUGGGCGGAAGCCUGAACCAGCCAUGCCGCGUGCGGGAAGGAGGCCCUAUGGGCUGUGAACCGCUUUUGCCUGGGGGCAAUAAGGGCGUCGCGCACGUCCGAUGAGAGUACCAGGCGAAUAAGCAUCGGCUAACUCCGUGCCAGCAGCCGCGGUAAUACGGGGGAUGCGAGCGUUAUCCGGAUUCAUUGGGUUUAAAGGGUGCGUAGGCUGUGCGUCAAGUCGGGGGUGAAAUUCCGGUGCUCAACACCGGGGCUGCCCUUGAUACUGUCGCGCUGGAGUGCGGAUGCCGCCGGAGGAAUGAGUGGUGUAGCGGUGAAAUGCUUAGAUAUCACUCAGAACACCGAUUGCGAAGGCAUCUGGCGAAUCCGUAACUGACGCUGAGGCACGAAAGCGUGGGGAUAGAACAGGAUUAGAUACCCUGGUAUUCCACGCCGUAAACGAUGAUGGCUAACCGCCGGCGACACACUGUCGGUGGCCAAGCGAAAGCGAUAAGCCAUCCACCUGGGGAGUACGUCGGCAACGAUGCAACUCAAAGGAAUUGACGGA
RNAcentral lists this ribosomal RNA (920 nucleotides) under uncultured organism. Its description in RNAcentral is "bacterial SSU rRNA". It matches the Rfam family "Bacterial small subunit ribosomal RNA", at positions 1 to 917 of the family's 1533-position model. The record is from RNAcentral.